RNAcentral lists this ribosomal RNA (420 nucleotides) under Weissella paramesenteroides. RNAcentral's name for it is "bacterial SSU rRNA". It matches the Rfam family "Bacterial small subunit ribosomal RNA", at positions 1005 to 1426 of the family's 1533-position model. The record is from RNAcentral. Lineage: Bacteria; Bacillati; Bacillota; Bacilli; Lactobacillales; Lactobacillaceae.
AAAUUGGCUUUCCCUUCGGGGACAAGGUGACAGGUGGUGCAUGGUUGUCGUCAGCUCGUGUCGUGAGAUGUUGGGUUAAGUCCCGCAACGAGCGCAACCCUUAUUAUUAGUUGCCAGCAUUCAGUUGGGCACUCUAGUGAGACUGCCGGUGACAAACCGGAGGAAGGUGGGGAUGACGUCAAAUCAUCAUGCCCCUUAUGACCUGGGCUACACACGUGCUACAAUGGCAUAUACAACGAGUCGCCAACCCGCGAGGGUGCGCUAAUCUCUUAAAGUAUGUCUCAGUUCGGAUUGUAGGCUGCAACUCGCCUACAUGAAGUCGGAAUCGCUAGUAAUCGCGGAUCAGCACGCCGCGGUGAAUACGUUCCCGGGUCUUGUACACACCGCCCGUCACACCAUGAGAGUUUGUAACACCCAAAG